RNAcentral lists this long non-coding RNA (1217 nucleotides) under Brassica napus (rape). RNAcentral's name for it is "long non-coding RNA (BNAP_LNC005152)". Lineage: Eukaryota; Viridiplantae; Streptophyta; Magnoliopsida; Brassicales; Brassicaceae. The record is from RNAcentral.
AUUUUUUUAAAACAAUAACCAGUAUUAUCUCAAUGGAAACAAGGGUUCAUAAAUUUUCUCUAGGUUAGAGAAUACAGUCUUCUCCCUACACUUAAAAAUCUCUGAAAAGUCAACUGUAAAACUGAAUAAACGAAAGAGUAAGCGUUUGUGGGUAUAUAUAAGGAAAUCUCAUAUAUAAGCAUCCAGAUCCAAUAGACACUAGAAGAAAUAUCAGCAUUAAUAACACAAUGAAAACACUACCAUGGGGCUUUUGUAGUAUUUCCAUAAACGGUAUGUCAGCCGCAUACAUAAUAGACCACUACUUUUUAUAUACUAUGAUAAGUAGACGUAUUGUAGCGUUAAUUGUCAUCUAUAGGUUAGACUUUUAAAACAUAUGAUUGGUGCUGUAUAAUAUUUUAUAAAGUCAUAGAUACACUCCUAGAAUUUUUUAAUUUUUUUAUUAAUUAAUCACAAAUAUUAAUAAAAAUAGAAACUACAAUAUUUUUAGCAAAUAAAAUUGAUUUAUUAUUACCAUUGGUUUAUAAAUUAAAUAUUAUUUACAAAUAAUAAUCUGUUUACAUUAAUUCAUUAGAUGAGUAAUGAUACAAAGAGAUUACAAGUUUUGGAUGAAUCAAAAUCUAGUAAUCUAGGGAGCUUAUCAAAGUAGCAAAUGAAGGUUUAAUCUGUUUCACUUGGAACAUGAUUAAAGCUUGGCAUUGUACUACUUAAGAACAACACUAUUGUCUCAUGAGAUCGCGACUUGAAACUUAGAUGUUGGAACCUGCACCGAAGAGAUAUUUGGAGUUAACAACCAGAAAACAGUCUGAGGCACCACAGACCAUCCCAAAGAAUUCCUAUAGGAGGACAUGCAAAGCAUGGAUGACUAAGCUCUGGUUUGGCCACCGCACAUUGAAGUUCACUAGAUGCUACACUAACUCUGUAAAUGCGACAGAUCAAACUCUCUGAGAAUCCAAACCAACACAGAGAAUCCAGCCGAUGAAACACUGGUGAGAUACUGGCAGACGAAAACAGAGGACAUAACGGCUCGACACUGACCCCAUCACACGAACAGAGGACGAAAGAUGCCGGCAACUCGGCAUCAAAAAGGUAGGAAGCUUAGGACGAUUUCCUUCUGAAACAUUGAGCAGAGAGGAUGAGGACCUCCCAUCAACAGGCGGAGAAGGCUCAGAAACCGUCGCAAAGCAGAGACAAAUUGGAACAACGGCAGAAACCCAAAU